Molecule: ribosomal RNA, 253 nt
Filed under: uncultured bacterium
Lineage: Bacteria
Description: partial 16S ribosomal RNA
Rfam family: Bacterial small subunit ribosomal RNA
Source: RNAcentral
UACGUAGGGUGCAGGCGUUAAUCGGAAUUACUGGGCGUAAAGCGUGCGCAGGCGGCUUCCUAAGUCAGAUGUGAAAUCCCCGGGCUUAACCUGGGAACUGCGUUUGAAACUGGGAGGCUAGAGUGCAGAAGGGGCAAUCGGAAUUCUUGGUGUAGCGGUGAAAUGCGUAGAUAUCAAGAGGAACACCUGAGGUGAAGACGGGUUGCUGGGCUGACACUGACGCUGAGGCGCGAAAGCCAGGGGAGCAAACGGG